UCGAUACAAUGAUGACUGCAUAGUUCAGCUGAUAAUCCUAUGAAGACCUCAUAUCGUCUUUCACCCCUAACUGACGUAUCAA
Small nucleolar RNA from Poecilia formosa (Amazon molly), 82 nucleotides. Lineage: Eukaryota; Metazoa; Chordata; Actinopteri; Cyprinodontiformes; Poeciliidae. The record is from Ensembl.